UUCAUGGCAAUGCAAUUAAAAAGUUGUUUUAGAAUCAUCAUGAAUGUACACACAGAACACGCAAACUCGGGUUCAGUCAGGUCAGAUUAGUUCGUGUCACAGAUAUGGAGCGCAGAAAGGCCAUUUUUCAUUACUAAAUAAAAAAAAUGGCAUUUAUUUAUGUAAGGCGCACACCACAUGUCUGUAAAUUCCUCAGCCCCAAAGCCCCCCUCCACCAUGGUUCUUAUAUUGCCAGAUUCAGGACAGUCUGCCCUACACAUACAUGAAAGUCAUGUCCAGCUGACAGAGAUACAU
Long non-coding RNA from Alosa sapidissima (American shad), 294 nucleotides. RefSeq lists it as uncharacterized. Lineage: Eukaryota; Metazoa; Chordata; Actinopteri; Clupeiformes; Clupeidae. The record is from RefSeq and is a predicted model, not a curated record. The transcript is spliced from 3 exons.